Small nucleolar RNA from Magnolia sinica, 108 nucleotides. NCBI's taxonomy places the organism in Eukaryota, Viridiplantae, Streptophyta, Magnoliopsida, Magnoliales, Magnoliaceae. The record is from RefSeq and is a predicted model, not a curated record.
UAGCCAUAUAGUGGACAUGAAUUUAUGAGAUCCUUAAAUCGCUCUCAACAUUAAAAGAAGCUCUCAUCCUCUUUUUACGUAAAAUUCAUGAUUGCUUUUCUUGAGGUA